AUGAACGCUGGCGGCGUGCCUAAUACAUGCAAGUCGAACGAGGUGCUUUUGUAGCAAUACGAAAGUAUCCUAGUGGCGAACGGGUGAGUAACGCGUGGGUAAUCUACCCCUUGGAUUUGGGAUAACUUCGCGAAAGCGGAGCUAAUACCCGGAUAGUCUGGCUUUAAUUAAGAAGUCGUAAAGGAUGCCUCUGCAUAUGCAUUCGUCCGAGGAUGAGCCCGCGUCUCAUUAGCUAGUUGGUAGGGUAAUGGCCUACCAAGGCAACGAUGAGUAGCUGGUCUGAGAGGAUGAUCAGCCACACUGGAACUGAAACACGGUCCAGACUCCUACGGGAGGCAGCAGUGGGGAAUAUUGCGCAAUGGGCGAAAGCCUGACGCAGCAACGCCGUGUGAGGGAUGAAGGCUUUCGGGUCGUAAACCUCUGUCGGAAGGGAAGAACGGGCAUUGGUCUAAUAGGCCUUUGUUUUGACGGUACCUUUAGAGGAAGCACCGGCUAACUCCGUGCCAGCAGCCGCGGUAA
This 519-nucleotide ribosomal RNA is filed under the name uncultured bacterium. Its description in RNAcentral is "bacterial SSU rRNA". It matches the Rfam family "Bacterial small subunit ribosomal RNA", at positions 29 to 523 of the family's 1533-position model. The record is from RNAcentral.